GGCUGAUUAUCAGAUGUGCCAUUG
RNAcentral lists this non-coding RNA (24 nucleotides) under Arabidopsis thaliana (thale cress). The record is from RNAcentral. Lineage: Eukaryota; Viridiplantae; Streptophyta; Magnoliopsida; Brassicales; Brassicaceae.